GCUUAUGUACAUGCCUACAACGUAAAUGUAAUGGAUCCCAUCAGAACUCCGCAGUUAAGCGCGCUUGGGCUAGAGUAUUUUUGGGAUGGGUGACCUCUUGGGAAAUCCUAGUGUUUUACAUGCC
Molecule: non-coding RNA, 124 nt
Organism: Picea glauca (white spruce)
Lineage: Eukaryota; Viridiplantae; Streptophyta; Pinopsida; Pinales; Pinaceae
Source: Rfam